Molecule: ribosomal RNA, 597 nt
Filed under: Rhynchogastrema nanyangensis
Lineage: Eukaryota; Fungi; Basidiomycota; Tremellomycetes; Tremellales; Rhynchogastremaceae
Also listed under: 1 other name
Description: eukaryotic LSU rRNA
Rfam family: Eukaryotic large subunit ribosomal RNA
Source: RNAcentral
AAACUAACAAGGAUUCCCCUAGUAACGGCGAGUGAACCGGGAUGAGCUCAAAUUUGAAAUCUGGCGUCCUCAGGGCGUCCGAGUUGUAAUCUAUAGAGGCGUUUUCCGUGCCGGACCGUGUCCAAGUCCCUUGGAACAGGGUAUCAAAGAGGGUGACAAUCCCGUACUUGACACGACGACCGGUGCUCUGUGAUACGUCUUCUACGAGUCGAGUUGUUUGGGAAUGCAGCUCAAAAUGGGUGGUGAGUUCCAUCUAAAGCUAAAUAUUGGCGAGAGACCGAUAGCGAACAAGUACCGUGAGGGAAAGAUGAAAAGCACUUUGGAAAGAGAGUUAAACAGUACGUGAAAUUGUUGAAAGGGAAACGAUUGAAGUCAGUCGUGACUGUUGGGCUCAGCAGGUUCUGCCUGUGUAUUCCCCUCAGUCGGGUCAACAUCAGUUUUGACCGGUGGAUAAGGGCAGCAGGAAUGUGGCACCUCCGGGUGUGUUAUAGCCUGUCGUCGCAUACAUCGGUCGAGACUGAGGAACGCAGCUCGCCCUUGAGGCCGGGGUUCGCCCACGUCCGAGCUUAGGAUGUUGACAUAAUGGCUUUAAACGAC